This 703-nucleotide ribosomal RNA is filed under the name uncultured bacterium. Its description in RNAcentral is "bacterial SSU rRNA". It matches the Rfam family "Bacterial small subunit ribosomal RNA", at positions 111 to 812 of the family's 1533-position model. The record is from RNAcentral.
UAACACGUAUCCAACCUGCCGUCUACUCUUGGACAGCCUUCUGAAAGGAAGAUUAAUACAAGAUGGCAUCAUGAGUCCACAUGUUCACAUGAUUAAAGGUAUUCCGGUAGACGAUGGGGAUGCGUUCCAUUAGAUAGUAGGCGGGGUAACGGCCCACCUAGUCUUCGAUGGAUAGGGGUUCUGAGAGGAAGGUCCCCCACAUUGGAACUGAGACACGGUCCAAACUCCUACGGGAGGCAGCAGUGAGGAAUAUUGGUCAAUGGGCGAGAGCCUGAACCAGCCAAGUAGCGUGAAGGAUGACUGCCCUAUGGGUUGUAAACUUCUUUUAUAAAGGAAUAAAGUCGGGUAUGGAUACCCGUUUGCAUGUACUUUAUGAAUAAGGAUCGGCUAACUCCGUGCCAGCAGCCGCGGUAAUACGGAGGAUCCGAGCGUUAUCCGGAUUUAUUGGGUUUAAAGGGAGCGUAGAUGGAUGUUUAAGUCAGUUGUGAAAGUUUGCGGCUCAACCGUAAAAUUGCAGUUGAUACUGGAUAUCUUGAGUGCAGUUGAGGCAGGCGGAAUUCGUGGUGUAGCGGUGAAAUGCUUAGAUAUCACGAAGAACUCCGAUUGCGAAGGCAGUCUGCUAAGCUGCAACUGACAUUGAGGCUCGAAAGUGUGGGUAUCAAACAGGAUUAGAUACUCUGGUAGUCCACACGGUAAACGAUGA